CACCAAGAUGGCUUCCAGUAGGAGAAUGGGUACAUAAACUGUGGUCCAUCCAGACAACAGAAUACUGUUCAACACUAAAAAGAAAUGAGCUCUCAAGCCGUGAAAACACAUGGAGGAACCCUGACCCUGAAGCCUGGAGAAGCUGCCCCUCCUCUGGGAGCCACUGUGACAAACAGAGGGUCAAGUGGGAUGGCCCGGAAUGAGAAUAAAGGCUUUGAGACACUCGUGGUCACACCAGCCCCUCAGGGAGGGAAGAAUCAGAGUCUCCGGAUGGCAAGACGAAUGCAGUUCCAAGGGAAGAUAGCAGAAGUGUCCCUCCAGCUCUGCUCAUGUCCUGGCAAAAGGAGCUGAUCAGGCCAGCGUGUUCCAGGGCGGGACCCCUGCCAGGAGACCGAGCAGGGCCAGGGCGCCACGCACUGCUCUGGGGUCGGCAGGAAACUCAAGGGAGUCGCACGUGGGACCUGGUGGAGAAGCCGGCUGCUCCCAGGCAGCUUUGUGCAUUUGGUGGCUUCCGUGGAAACUCGUCAAACAGUUGGCACAAAUGCUUCCCUCCUCCAGCGACAGAGCUCACACUUCGGGAAACACUGAACUGCUCUGAAAUGUGAUAAUAUCGUCUGUCAAUUUCCGCACACAGAAUGCUGUUUUCUACAGCGAGAGUAUUUGUCUUGGCCUUCUGGAACUUUAUGGGCUUCUGGACCAAUGCUCUCCACUCCCUGGCUCCCGGGGGGAAGGCUUGUGGGGGUCGAUAGGGUAUGAGAGGGCAGGGCAAUGUGGGCCGAGGCAGUGGAGAGCUCAGAGGAGCAGCUCCCUCUCUGGGCUCAACUUGUGGCCGGGCGGGGGGCGGGUUCUGGGUACAUUCCUGAGCCCGGCAGCAGGCACAGCUGCUAGGCAGCAGCUGCAGAGCCCCAGAAUGGGGAGAGCAGGGCCUCUCCCUCCUCGGGCCGGGCAGACUACCACCAGCCCCCCAGCUGCAUUGUGGGCUAUAGUUGGCAGGGGCAGGCACUCAGCCCUCCCCCUGCAGUGAGUUUUGAGCAGGUGCGGUGGGGGCGGGUGUCUGAAGAGGGGAAGGACAAGAGGAACAAAAGUGCCGACGUGGCACUGGGCCUGGCCUCUGUGGGCUCUGAGAGGAGGACCCGGUCACAGUUCUGGUGCAUUUGUAAUUCAAGCCCGGCUUCUUCCCGCAGGAGGCAUUGCUGGAAUAGGAUGUGCGAGCAGGGGGCUGUGGAAGCUGAGUGCCGAGGAGACAUUGAGAGGUUCUGAGCAGGGUGAGGGCAAGAUCAGGAGGCAAUUCUACCUGGAGGGUCUCGGGAAGCUGGGUAGAGCACACACACUACAGGCUGUGUGGUGACCCAGGUGGGAGACCAUAAGGACAGGUCCAGGAAGGAGGUGGUAGAAAGGGCAUGAGGGCAGCAAUGGACGAUUCAGCCUUCCAUCGGCUCCCCUCUGUCCUCAGCCCUGGUGCAACAAUAUGUUCAAGGCUGUCCCCUCCCCUAGGAGUUGACUCCCAAGGGUGCUGGAGGACACCUGGGUUAUGUGAAAAGAAGUCUAAUGGAAAUACCUCUCAGGAUAGGAGUCUUCCCGCCUGAUGCCCUGAGGCUCUGGGAUGAUGGGAGUGCUUGAGCAGGUCAUUCCCAGGCCAUAGUGCUGGGUGGGUCCCUGCCCUCAGUCCCUCUUCCUGCUGUCCCAAGACUUCCAC
Long non-coding RNA from Ailuropoda melanoleuca (giant panda), 1696 nucleotides. RefSeq lists it as uncharacterized. The record is from RefSeq and is a predicted model, not a curated record. NCBI's taxonomy places the organism in Eukaryota, Metazoa, Chordata, Mammalia, Carnivora, Ursidae. The transcript is spliced from 3 exons.